CAACAAAAAGCCAAAAUAGAGGCAUUUAACUGUUAAUUAAAAAACUGAAAAUAUUUUCUUUGUUGA
RNAcentral lists this transfer RNA (66 nucleotides) under Eledone cirrhosa (curled octopus). Its description in RNAcentral is "tRNA-Asn". Lineage: Eukaryota; Metazoa; Mollusca; Cephalopoda; Octopoda; Eledonidae. The record is from RNAcentral.